This 402-nucleotide ribosomal RNA is filed under the name uncultured bacterium. Its description in RNAcentral is "bacterial SSU rRNA". It matches the Rfam family "Bacterial small subunit ribosomal RNA", at positions 355 to 756 of the family's 1533-position model. The record is from RNAcentral.
UGAGGAAUAUUGGUCAAUGGGAGCAAUCCUGAACCAGCAAUGCCGCGUGUGGGAUGACGGGGCUCAGCCCUGUAAACCACUGUCGGACGGGACGAAAGGAGCCUUCAGGGCUCUGGGACGGUACCGUCAAAGGAAGGGUCGGCUAACUACGUGCCAGCAGCCGCGGUAAUACGUAGGACCCAAGCGUUGUCCGGAAUUACUGGGUAUAAAGGGUGCGCAGGCGGCCGUGUGCGUCAGAGGUGAAAUCUCCGGGCUUAACCCGGAAGUGCCUUUGAUACGGCAUGGCUUGAGUCCGAGAGAGGGUAAUGGAAUUCCUAGUGUAGCAGUGAAAUGCGUAGAUAUCAGGAGGAACACCGGUGGCGAAGGCGGUCACCUGGCUCGGCACGUGACGCUUAGGCACGA